UUUAGUUCAGAGGCAAUGGAAAUUUAUAAAUCAUUAGAAGCUCAUAACCUCUUUAUAUCUGGUUGGGUACAAACCAUUAGACACACGAUCCUUCCUAAUAAAGUGAUUGUUAUGAAAUGCUAUGAAAGUUAGACCAUCCUUUAGGAGUACAGAGAAUUCAGAUAAUCCUUGGAUAGCAUUAAAUGAGGAUAGAAAUGUUUUAGCUGCACAUUGUGAUUGCAUGGCUGGCCUUGGUGAAACUUGCUCACAUGUUGCUGCGACUCUAUAUAAAAUUAAAGCUGCUGUUCGAUUCAGAAUGACACAGUGUACACCAACUGACCUUCCUUGUAAAUGGAACCAAAGUUUUAAUUAGAAUGUGCUAGCUUCACCUGUAGCAAAUUUAAAAUUAUAUAGUUCCAAAGCCAAGCAACAGUUUACUAAAAAAAGAAAAUUAGGUUGUGUAAAGCCAACACUUGAUGAAAAAAAAAUAUUUCUAGAUCAACUUCAUACCAUUAAUCCCAAUAUUGUUGGACUAUCAUUGUUUAGUCAAUACUCAUCAACAUUUGCUUCAAAUGACAUUGUUUGUAUUCGUCUAAAACUUCCAAUAUCAUACAAUAGUCUUUAUUCAAAGAAUACAUCACAAGAUGAUGCCCAACUAACUAAUUUAUGUAAAGAAACUAAAAAGAAACUUAUAGUGUCAGAUUUAAAAGCAGUUUACAUAGAAGAAUCUACAAGAAACUAGUCAUAAUCUUUAACAUGGUAUCAGCAACGAUGUGGUCGAAUAACUGCUUCUUUAUCACACCAAGUUUUUCAAACAACUAUGAAAAAUUCGUCUCGGUCAUUGAUUAACAAAAUAUGCUAUCCAAACCCACCUCAAAUAAAGACCCAAGCUUUUUUAUGGGGUACUCAACAUGAAUAUGAAGCUAAAAAGUUGUAUACAAAUUUAUAUAGUGACCCUAAUUUUAUUUCAGAAAUUAUUUGUUUGAGUGAAAAAAAAGUACACAGAGGUAUCAACGUAAAGGACAUAGGUCUGUGCCUCAUUUUAGACAAACCAUGGAUUGAUGCUUCAUUCGUUUUGUGAUUGUUGUGGAUAUGGCGUUGUGGAGAUUAAAUGUCCGUUUUCAUUACGAGAUAAAUCUCUUAGAGAGGAAAUUAGUUCUGGUAGAUUUUAUAUUUUAAAUGAAAACAAACAAUACACUAUAAAUAAAAAUCACUCUAACUAUACGCAAGUGCAAAUCCAAAUGUAUGCUACUGGAACAUCUUAUUGCGAUUUUAUGGUAUGGAACCCAGUUAAAUUUGUUAUUUUUCGUACUGCUUCUGACACAGAGUAUCAAAAAAAUGCAUUAGGUACAAUAAAUAAUUUUUGGCGUUUAAAUAUUUUACCAGAGCUUUUAACAAAUAGAAUUGCAAAUGAUGCUAAUAAUGACAAGGAAACUUUCUCGAAAGAUGCUGAGCCUGACAGUGUUUAAUCAUAUUACGUGUGUAACUCGUUGACUACUGAAGGGGAUAUGGUGGCUUGUGACAGUUGUGACAAAUAGUUUUAUCCUACAUGUUUAAAACUUAAUAAACUGCCUUCUUCAAAAGUAUGGUAUUGUCCAAUAUGCAGGAAAAAAAAGUAAAGCAGGAAAAAAACUAUAAAGCUAUGUUAA
Long non-coding RNA from Hydra vulgaris (swiftwater hydra), 1628 nucleotides. RefSeq lists it as uncharacterized. NCBI's taxonomy places the organism in Eukaryota, Metazoa, Cnidaria, Hydrozoa, Anthoathecata, Hydridae. The record is from RefSeq and is a predicted model, not a curated record.